UCCUACGGGAGGCAGCAGUGAGGAAUAUUGGUCAAUGGGCGCGAGCCUGAACCAGCCAAGUAGCGUGAAGGAUGACUGCCCUACGGGUUGCAAAUUUCUUUUAUAAAGGAAUAAAGUGAGGCACGUGUGCCUUUUUGUAUGUACUUUAUGAAUAAGGAUCGGCUAACUCCGUGCCAGCAGCCGCGGUAAUACGGAGGAUCCGAGCGUUAUCCGGAUUUAUUGGGUUUAAAGGGAGCGUAGAUGGGUUGUUAAGUCAGUUGUGAAAGUUUGCGGCUCAACCGUAAAAUUGCAAUUGAUACUGGCAG
This 305-nucleotide ribosomal RNA is filed under the name uncultured bacterium. Its description in RNAcentral is "bacterial SSU rRNA". It matches the Rfam family "Bacterial small subunit ribosomal RNA", at positions 337 to 639 of the family's 1533-position model. The record is from RNAcentral.